RNAcentral lists this ribosomal RNA (251 nucleotides) under uncultured bacterium. Its description in RNAcentral is "partial 16S ribosomal RNA". It matches the Rfam family "Bacterial small subunit ribosomal RNA", at positions 524 to 776 of the family's 1533-position model. The record is from RNAcentral.
UACGUAGGGUGCGAGCGUUAAUCGGAAUUACUGGGCGUAAAGGGUGCGCAGGCGGUUAUAUAAGACAGAUGUGAAAUCCCCGGGCUCAACCUGGACCUGCAUUUGUGACUGCAUCGCUAGAGUACGGCAGAGGGGAUGGAAUUCCGCGUGUAGCAGUGAAAUGCGUAGAUAUGCGGAGGAACACCGAUGGCGAAGGCAAUCCCCUGGGCCUGUACUGACGCUCAUGCACGAAAGCGUGGGGAGCAAACAGG